UACAGAGGGUGCGAGCGUUGUUCGGAAUUAUUGGGCGUAAAGGGCGCGUAGGCGGCGCCACAAGUCACCUGUGAAAACUCUGGGCUCAACCCAGAGCCUGCAGGCGAAACUGUGGUGCUGGAGUAUGGGAGAGGUGCGUGGAAUUCCUGGUGUAGCGGUGAAAUGCGCAGAUAUCAGGAGGAACACCGGUGGCGAAGGCGGGUCUCUGGGCCGAAACUGACGCUGAGGAGCGAAAGCGUGGGGAGCGAACAGG
RNAcentral lists this ribosomal RNA (253 nucleotides) under uncultured bacterium. RNAcentral's name for it is "partial 16S ribosomal RNA". It matches the Rfam family "Bacterial small subunit ribosomal RNA", at positions 524 to 776 of the family's 1533-position model. The record is from RNAcentral.